UUAUAGAAUUAACUUACUUUUAUCUACUUUUACUUACUUCUACCUAUUUUUAUAUUUAAUUAUUAGCUUACAUGAUUAUGGCCGUCACAACAGCUUAGAUUUGUCAACACCAGUCUAGUAUAGUAGCUUUGUUGCCUUUCUUUCAAUUAACUCACAUUUCUCUAGAAUUUGUAUCCCUCCUAUCUUCUUAUUGGCAAUCUUCUCUACUCAUCUACAUCUACUUCU
This 225-nucleotide long non-coding RNA is filed under the name Physcomitrium patens. Its description in RNAcentral is "long non-coding RNA (PPAT_LNC001657)". Lineage: Eukaryota; Viridiplantae; Streptophyta; Bryopsida; Funariales; Funariaceae. The record is from RNAcentral.